CCUACGGGUGGCUGCAGUGAGGAAUUUUGCGCAAUGGGGGAAACCCUGACGCAGCAACGCCGCGUGAGUGAUGAAGGCCUUCGGGUCGUAAAGCUCUGUCAAGUGGGAAGAAUCUGCUCUGUGAUAACACCACGGGGCACUGACGGUACCACUGAAGGAAGCACCGGCUAACUCCGUGCCAGCAGCCGCGGUAAUACGGGGGGUGCUAGCGUUAUUCGGAAUCAUUGGGCGUAAAGGGCGCGUAGGCGGUCUUUUAAGUCAGAUGUGAAAGCCCUCGGCUUAACCGAGGAAGUGCAUUUGAUACUAAGAGACUUGAGUAUGGGAGAGGGAAGCGGAAUUCCUGGUGUAGCGGUGAAAUGCGUAGAUAUCAGGAGGAACACCGGUGGCGAAGGCGGCUUCCUGGACCAAUACUGACGCUGAGGCGCGAAGGCGUGGGGAGCAAACAGGAUUAGAUACCCGAGUAGUC
This 466-nucleotide ribosomal RNA is filed under the name uncultured bacterium. Its description in RNAcentral is "bacterial SSU rRNA". It matches the Rfam family "Bacterial small subunit ribosomal RNA", at positions 338 to 795 of the family's 1533-position model. The record is from RNAcentral. RNAcentral also lists the same sequence under 1 other name.